Long non-coding RNA from Vicia villosa (hairy vetch), 4046 nucleotides. RefSeq lists it as uncharacterized. NCBI's taxonomy places the organism in Eukaryota, Viridiplantae, Streptophyta, Magnoliopsida, Fabales, Fabaceae. The record is from RefSeq and is a predicted model, not a curated record. The transcript is spliced from 3 exons.
UACUUCUUAACCUAAUUUUAUCCUCAAAAAACCCAUCCCUCAACAAUCUCUCUCUGCAACACACCGACCCAUCUCCAUCAAAUGCGCCGCCACGAACCAAGCUGAGCCACAAACCCAAACACAACCUCAAUCCUCAGAUCGCGUCUUCAAAUUCGCUGCCGGACCCGUCGCCCUCCUUGAAAACGUCCUCCAUAAGGCCCAAUCGGAGCUCUACAACUGGCGUGGAUCUGGUAUGAGCGUGAUGGAUAUGAGUCACAGAGGUAAAGAAUUUCUUUCCAUUAUUCAAAAAGCAGAGUCAGAUCUGCGUACCCUUUUGGAUAUCUCCUUGAAAUAUUAUGUUCUUUUCCUCUAAGACGGUGCCACCACUCAGUUCGCCGACGAAACACUGAAACACCAAUGCCUCGGUACUACUGUGACUACUGCGAUACCUAUUUGACUCACGAUUCUGUAAGUUAUAUUCUGAUAAAUGAGAGGUUCACUCACUAUAAUUUCCAUUGUAAGCCACAGGGGACAAUGCAAAUGUUGCUAACUUUGGGUAAUGUUGCAGCCAUCUGUUAGAAAGCAGCAUAACUUUGGUUAUAAACACAAGGUGCUGUCAACUUUUCUCACUUUUAUAAAUUAUACUACAUUACAAUCUAAGUCAUAUUUGUUAGCUUUGUUUGAUGUGUUUGUCUUUUCAGGCUGAUGUUUUCUAGGUAAAUUUCUACAAUCUUUGAAUUUCCAACUAGCUCGUCAAACUUUAAUCGGCUAUUCUAUAUAGGUGAGUAACUCAAAUUUUAGUAUACGUGGUUCAAAUUUUAGUUUGUUAUGUGUGUUUUGGGUUAGCUUUUGAUUAAAAUAUCUAUGAACUGAUUUGGUAAUGUGGUUUAUAAUUGAGUUUGAAAUUAAGUGAUCUUUUCAGUUUUUUAUCAUGAAAGAUAUUCUUAUAUAAAGGUUAGUAUAAAUCUUUAACCAAAAUAGAACCUGAUCUUUAGUAUGUUUAUUAUUGACUAUAUGCAACUAACGAUACAACUUCAGGUGAAUUCUACACCAAAAUUGAUAGUCAAAGGUUUGAGACAGGGUUGUCAUUGACAAUGCGGUUUGCUCCAAUUCAACUAUAGUCAAGGUAAGACGCAAAGAAAAUUCCUUAAUUUAGAUUCCUUAACAAUCAACCCUAAUAAGCAAAGAAAAUUCCUUAACUAGUAGGAGUAAUUAUUACUGUAAAUGAGUUAUUAAUGUUUGUGAGCUAUAAAGCCACUAUUAAUGUUUGUGUCUUGUAGGAGAUAUUCUUAUUAAUGUUUGUGUCUUGUCGUGUACUUCUACUUCUAUAACUACUAACUUCUUAUAUGAAUAUUCUUGUGUUGUUUGACAUACUUUGAAAAUUGUACAGGGUCAGAUCUGAAUUUGGAUGGAAACAUUGGAAGUUUGUGACAUCAAUUAUUCUACUUCCUAAUGUGUUGAUUAUUUUCUUGCAGCAAUAUUUCGUACUUGCUGAUGGUAUAUAUUAGAACAUAGAAAUGAAUCCCUUAAUGUGUUGAUUGUUUUCUUGGAUUAUCAACCAAGUUUGAUUAUUCUUUGUUACGGUUAUAUAGCACCCAUGGCUUUGCCUCAUCAUGUGUCAAUUGGAUUUUUAAAGAAUAUCGUCCACCCUACAUAUUUUCUAUAACCUUGAAUACUCAAUAAUUCCGGUACUUCAAAAGCAAUGCAAUAUCUAAUUCUUCUCUGACGCUAAUAUUGUUGAUUUAUUGGCUUCUUACCAUAUUUAAUAUAACUUUGUUUGCUUGGUAACUGUUUGAAAGAAAGAAUGCCGUUAACACUGUUGACUAUUUUCUUACAAAUCUAAAAUGCUGUUUGUGAUCUUGUCUUUAUAAAUUAUUAAGUUAUUUUAGGCGUUCUUAUUGCUUUGAAUUUCUCACUGUCAGUGGAUUAUUUUUGGAUAGGUUGUAUUCGAUGGCUUUUAGCAGGUUGGAAGGAACUUUAUUUUAGCAGGUUGGGUUGAAACAUGAUGAUUUAGUAUUUUAGUUAUUAAUCAAGUUUUAUAUGGAUUUGUAUUUUUUUUCCUGAAAUUUAAUGGUUUCAAUUUUAUUUAGCAUAAAGUGAUUGGUUAGCAAACAAGACUUCCCUGAAUUUGUAUUAUAUAAUUUUAGCAUGUUGGGUGAAACAUGAUGAUUUCAUGGUAACUGAUAUUGGUUGCAAACAAAACUUAUGUGUUGUAAUUUCAUCGUAAUUGCUACGGUGAUUAUGAAACUUCCCAUAAUUAAGUUGAUGAUAUACUUUCACAUACUACCCAUUGGAUUGAGCUAAACUAUGUAGAAUGCUUAGAAUGACGAGAUGAUAGUGGCUUUAUGGCUGACAGUUUCAAAAUGCAUUAAGUUGUUUCAUUCUUGUAUUAAUUUAUAUUAAGUUGUUUCAAAAUAUAUGUUUCAUUCUUGUUUUUUGUUUUAUAGCUUUCAUUAUGUGCCUUAUUUAAUAUUAAAAUUGUUUAUAUUUUAGGAGUUUUAUAUUAGAAAUAAGGAUGGCACCCCGAUUAGUUCAGAACCGGAGCGUCAAAGAGUGAUUCAAUAAGUUAACAGAUGAAAGUGUUUUGAAGUAUAUUGAACAAUCACUUGGUAGCAUUCACAAUGUGAUGUGGUUGAGGCUAAAGUUUGAUAACACAGUGGCAUAACUGCUUCCUUAAUUUAUGUUGAAAAUGGAUUCAACAUGGUUUCAAGAUGAUAUUGAAUGUUUAAUCUUUUAGAAAUUAUGUUUAACGAUUUCAGUUUGAUGUGUAUAUGUUCAUUUAUGUCUUUAAAGAUAAUGUGUAGUUUCUCAGACUACAUAAUAUUAACACCGUCAUACCCUAAUUUUUGACCCCCGUGAGAUGUCACACCUCCAAACAUCUCAUCAAACUCAAGACAGGUACUCAGAGCAGUCACUUGUUUGUCUGAUACCCAAUCGAGGGUGCUCAAGGACAAGGAGUUCAGACAAAGGAUCAAUCAAUAUGAGAAUGACCUCUAAUACAAUCACAUGACUCAAAUGAUUCAUUCAUUCACCUAUGAGUGAUUAGACACUAGUCAUCAGGGCUCAGGUUUACUCAGGACACCAGACUAGGGUUUUGAGCUUAUCAAGGACUGAAAUCAGGGACCACAUUUGGGAAACUCUAAAAAGCUCCAAGACAUCACUCAAAGGAUUCAAUCAUCUUAAAAUGAUCCAUAUAACAAUAUCCAUUGAGCAUUGUACCUCAAUUCAAGAUCUACAAUCAUCAAUUUCAUCUGGUCGACAAUUAGGGUUUUUGACCUAAUUCACCAAGACAAUUGACUUUUAAUCAGGACAUGUAUCCACAACUCAAAACAUGACUCAAGAACUUCUAUUACCUUAAUAUAAUCCAUUCAUAUCACUCAUUUGAGGAGGAGGACUUGAUUCAUUACCAAAGUCCAAGAUUUCAUUUCAUCUAGAAAAAGUCAACUGUACAAGAUCACCUUUGACUUUUAGGGUUUUGGAUCAAAACAUGACUUUUAAGGAUCAAUAUCAUCAAUAUAUGAUUAUUGAAUUCAUUUGACCAAGAGAAAUCAAUAAAAUCAAUCAAGAAUCAAAAAGUCAAAGAUUGACUUUUCAUACUUAGAAAUUUUUCUAAGUGUUUAAAGGUCUUUUUUUCAAAACUUUGGAAGGGAAUACUCAAAAUUUCAGGUACAAAUUGAAAAAAACUUCCAACAUCAAAGUUGUAGAUUUUGAUCCAAUGAACAACUUUGUCACAUAUGAUUUUUUGGCUAGAAAUCAAGCAUUGCAGAGAUAUGGAGCUUCAAAGUUGCUGCCUCCAUGAAUCUAGCAAAAAACCCUAGUUUUCUUCAAACUUUGAGCCCAUUUUCACAAUUUUCCCAAGUGAUUUUGAAGAAACUCCAAACUAAUGAAUUGAAGUACAUGUUAAGGGCUUUCCAAAAUGUGCUCAAACUUCUCCAAAUUCAUUUUGAGCUAGGAGUUAUGAUGGUUCAAAGUUGGGCUCAUGGAGUGAAAUUAUAGGUCAUGCCUAAGUUUGAAACUUGCAAUUUUAUGCAAAUGCCUACACUAUUUGGUUCUGUCAUACCCCAAUU